Molecule: transfer RNA, 81 nt
Filed under: Vitis vinifera (wine grape)
Lineage: Eukaryota; Viridiplantae; Streptophyta; Magnoliopsida; Vitales; Vitaceae
Rfam family: tRNA
About the family: Transfer RNA (tRNA) molecules are approximately 80 nucleotides in length. Their secondary structure includes four short double-helical elements and three loops (D, anti-codon, and T loops).
Source: Rfam by way of RNAcentral
GUCGAUAUGCCCGAGUGGUUAAGGAGACAGACUUGAAAUCUGUUGGACUUCACUCGUGCAGGUUCGAACCUGCUGUCAACA